This 663-nucleotide long non-coding RNA is filed under the name Ananas comosus (pineapple). RNAcentral describes it as "long non-coding RNA (ACOM_LNC021636)". Lineage: Eukaryota; Viridiplantae; Streptophyta; Magnoliopsida; Poales; Bromeliaceae. The record is from RNAcentral.
AGAAUUAGUGACCUACUAGUGAAUUACCCGCACGAUGCUGCGGAUAUAAAAUUAUUUUUAUAAUAAAUUUUAUUUUUUUAAUAUUUUUAUAAAGUUUUAUAAGUCUAAUUAUAAUUAAACAAAAAUUAUAUAAAAAUAAUUUAGUAGUUAAAUCUAUUUAAAUAAAAGUCAUUAAAAUUGAUAUAUGCGCAAAGUAAAUUUAUAUAAUCAUUUAUUUUAUAAAGAUAGGUAUGAAAAGAAUUUUAGAUAAAUCUAUCAAAAUAAUUUUAAAAAAUCAAUAAAUAGAAGAAAAAUAAAAUUGUAAAUGAAAUUGUUUAAUAAAUUAAUUAUAUAUACACAAAAAUACACUAUAUUUCUAAAAUUUUACUCCUAAAAUUUAAAUACUAUAUUUAUUUUAUACAACGAUAUUUUACGUGAUUUAAAUUGUAUCUAUCAAGUUAGAUUUUAUUAUGUGAUUUAUUACGCAUAUUAUUAAUAAAUUAAUUAAUUAUAUUAUAAUUUAAUUAAUUAUUAUAAUUUAGAAUUUAAAAUUAAAAUUUUGAAAAUUUUAAAAUUUGAAAGUAUCAAAACUUUAAAUUUUCACAUCAAAAUUUAAUUACUAAUAAGCUGUUAUACAAUUUAUUAAUAAAAUUAAUUUUAUAUAUAUAUAUAUAUAUAUAUAUA